UUCUAUGCUAGAUAGUGAGCAGUGUAAUAUAGUGACACCUAAAGUUAAAAACUUUGGGAUACGGAUUCAAGAUUCAGAUCCUUGCUUUAAAUGUAAAAUGGACAGCUCGACGAUAACUCAAGAUGAAUCAUACAUAUAUACAGAAAUUAAUGAUACUGCCGAAUUAGAAGUUAUUGAUAAAGCUAAAACUGAUGAUUUUGAAUUUCCUCCCAUCGAAGGUUUGUCGAAAAGUUCAGAAAUCGCCAUACAAUCUCUACAUAGAAACGAUGUAGUUACAACGCUUGUGCCCAAAGUGGUUAUGGCUACAGGAAAUGUAUCACCUACAAAAUGCUUAACUCCAAGAUUGAGCUAUGGAGCUGUUCACGUACAUAGCUACCGGGAGAAGCAGGGAGUGCAUGAUGUUGUUUAUCAAGGAGAAUGGCAAAGAUAUAGACCUAAUACCAGAGGUGAACCUUUGAAAAGUCCGAUUAGUAAAGAAACAAAACUGACAGUCGACCGUAAGAAAAGAUCUCCAAAGGAGAAAAUUAUUGGAAAAGAUGCCAGAAAAGAAGUUGAAAAGCAGAAUUAUAAAAGACCUGUUCAAAUGCGGAAAGCCUUGGAAUCUAAAACGAAGUCAUUGGUUCGAGAAGAGAAUACGAUAGUUUCCAGCAAAGUACCGAAGAUACGAGCAUAUAAAGGAAGUAAAAAGAUAAGAAAAGUUGCAUCGAAAGUGACUGUGAGUUCGAUUUCGUCAAAAAAUUCCAAAGGAACAUAUGUUGUUAAAAAAACUGAUGUCACAAAUAUAAAGCCUGAUGGACAAUAUGGAAAAGCAUCUACUAUUUUACGAAGGAAUUACAUACCGUUGUACUUGAGACAGCGAAUGAAAAUGGAGAAGAGUCUCUCGAAUGUAAAUAACAAAUCUAUUAACGAUCCAAUAGAGACGAUAGGCAUAUUUCAAAUUCACAAACAAAAUCUUAAAUCGUUAGCAAACGAAAAUAAUCAUUUUAAUUUUAAUAAAGAGCGGCGUGAAAGAUACAAUUUCCUAGUUUAUCGUAAUGAGAAUGAAAAGAAAGAUAAGUCUCUACUAUCAAAAGUUGCAACCAAGGCAAGUUGGCAGAGUAAGGAGAGGGCGAAUAGAUCUUUUAGUCCUCAAUCACAAAAUAGCUCGACAUGUUCCUCGCCUAAUAGCAUAGCUACUAUACGCGUAGCAUUCAAUAAAAAGAGUUGUCAACGAGUUCGACAGAGUGCUUCACCACCUUUAACGUCUAAAAGCUUAGACCCUAAAAAAUCCCAAUCACCUGCAUCAACAAAAACCUCAAUCAUGAGAACAAUUGGGAGGAAAACAAAGCUAUCUGAAAACAAAGAAAACAUCCCUCAUCAAAAUGAAAAUAUCAAUAAAAACAAAGACAAAAGAGUGUUCGUGAGAGAUUCAAAAAAUGUAUACAUUUCUCAAUUGAAAGUGGAAAGUACAUCCAAACAAGUGGACCGAAAGAGUAGUGUGAAACAAAAAAAAUCACUCAAAUUAAAUACCACUAGUCUAGAUAAUGCAACAGAAAAACAAACAUCUGAUUUAAAUGUAGAGUCUGAGACAAAAGCGCAAAAUUCAAAAAACUUAGUCGAUAAUGAAAACGUUUGUGAGAUUAUUUCUAAUUUAACAUCCAUUGUAGAGCCAUCAAUCAAAGUUCAUAUAUCUGAACCGACAACACCAGAGAAAAGAAUCAAUAGGCAAGGCCUAGUAACUAACUGGAUUGAUAGUUCGAAUAUAGUUCUUACGGCUACUGCCGAUAACGUUGCAAUUGGAAUAAGGCAGUUAAUAGAAAGGACGCUUGAUUUUAUCGAUGAUUCUGUUGAUGGCGACAUUGGAAUUGAUUCUGAAACGGUGGUACUAAACCAAGAGAAUCACAAUUUAAGCGGUGACGAAAUUCUAUCGCAGACAAGUUUCACAUCAGCCAUAGACGAUGAGAGAUUUUAUUCUGGUUUAGAGAACGAAGCCAAUAAUGCACCGACGUGUUCAUUUAGUUCAGCUUUAGACGAUGAGUUUUUGAGUUUAGGUAGCAUGGGACUCGAAAUCAAUGAAUUUGAUUUGUUAUCAUUCAAAUCUAUGCCGUCUCAUUCUGAUUACGUCACAGUAAGUGAUGUGGCUUCGAGAAUUGAUUCUAUGCGGGAACUAUUUGAACGUAAAGAUACACAAGUACCUCAAAAAGCGGCAGGUACGUUAGCUAUUCAAGCGUUCAGCGGAUUUUCUUUGAACUCUGAGCCGUUUGUGGGCGACCAACCGGAUCGUGUAAAUUUGAUUGAUUCAGAAACCGGUAGCUUGGCUGUGGAGAUAACCAGACAAGCUACUUCCGAAGAAAUGUUCGUGUCCGGAAGAUCCUCGGAAAGCUAUGAAUCGUGUGUGUUAGACGAAGAUGCGGUCGUACCAGAUUGGCUGUUCAGAAUUAUAAGCCAGCAACAAGAGAUGUCCGAGGAACCUGAAACCGGUGGUUUAAUUAUUCCCCUGCCAUACGAUGAGCCAAUGGCUCUCGCUGAACCGAUGUACGAUGUGAACAGUAACGUGGUGGAGCCUGUCGGAGCCGGUUCUGGUGCGGGCGACGGUCGCGGUAUACACAGUGACUAUUCACAAGACAGUUCUGGUAGAGGAACUUCGUUAAGCUCCAGCGACACUUCGUCUGGAGCGCGUAACGAUCACAAUCGACCCAUCAUCGUUUGCAGUCCAACUGGAAGUUGUUGGUGAAGGUAUUGAUGUACCAGAUUUGAACCAAAUUAGAUCCGAACAAUCCCUCAACAUUGAAGGAGCAACUAACUCGCGACGAGUACGCGAAAGGCGUACUAUUGAUCAACCAGUUACAUCGAGCGAUGUUGAGGCCGAUGUUAGUUCAACUGACACUGACGUUCCGG
This 2877-nucleotide unclassified non-coding RNA is filed under the name Bombyx mandarina (wild silkworm). Its description in RNAcentral is "uncharacterized LOC114245499, transcript variant X1". Lineage: Eukaryota; Metazoa; Arthropoda; Insecta; Lepidoptera; Bombycidae. The record is from RNAcentral.